UACGGGGGGGGCAAGCGUUGUUCGGAAUUACUGGGCGUAAAGGGCUCGUAGGUGGCCAACUAAGUCGGACGUGAAAUCCCUCAGCUUAACUGGGGAACUGCGUCCGAUACUGGAUGGCUUGAGUUUGGGAGAGGGAUGCGGAAUUCCAGGUGUAGCGGUGAAAUGCGUAGAUAUCGAGAGGAACACCUGCGGCGAAGGCGGGUUGCUGGGCUGACACUGACGCUGAGGCGCGAAAGCCAGGGGAGCGAACGGG
RNAcentral lists this ribosomal RNA (253 nucleotides) under uncultured bacterium. Its description in RNAcentral is "partial 16S ribosomal RNA". It matches the Rfam family "Bacterial small subunit ribosomal RNA", at positions 524 to 776 of the family's 1533-position model. The record is from RNAcentral.